GGAUUGGGAGGGUUCUACGGAACCCGUUUGGUGAAUCUAGUGCCGAGAAAAGCCUUCUAUGUGUUGAAUUUCUAGUACCCGUACCCCAAACCGACACAGGUGGGUGGGUAGAGCAUACCUAGGGGCGCGUGAUAACUCUCUCUAAGGAACUCGGCAAAAUGGCCCUGUAACUUCGGGAUAAGGGGUGCCUGCGUGAGCAGGCCGCAGUGAAAUGGCUCUGGCGACUGUUUACCAAAAACACAGGUCUCUGCUAAGUCGUAAGACGAUGUAUAGGGGCUGACUCCUGCCCAGUGCCGGAAGGUUAAGGAAGUUGGUUAGCGCAAGCGAAGCUGGCGACCGAAGCCCCGGUGAACGGCGGCCGUAACGAUAACGGUCCUAAGGUAGCGAAAUUCCUUGUCGGGUAAGUUCCGACCCGCACGAAAGGAGUAACGAUCAGAGCGCUGUCUCGGAGAGAGACACGGCGAAAUAGGAUUGUCCGUGAAGAUACGGACUACCUGCACCCGGACAGAAAGACCCUAUGAAGCUUUACUGUAACUUGGAAUUGUGUUCGGACUUUGUCUGCGCAGAAUAGGUGGGAGGCUAUGAAACGUUCCUCGCGGGGAACUGGAGCCAUCGUUGAGAUACCACUCUGGCAGAGUCUGGAUUCUAACCUACGGGGACAGUUCCAGGUGGGCAGUUUGACUGGGGCGGUCGCCUCCUAAAAUGUAACGGAGGCGCGCAAAGGUUCCCUCAGGCUGGUUGGAAAUCAGCCAUAGAGUGUAAAAGCAUAAGGGAGCUUGACUGUGAGACCUACAAGUCGAGCAGGGACGAAAGUCGGCUUUAGUGAUCCGACGGCACUGAGUGGAAGGGCCGUCGCUCAACGGAUAAAAGUUACUCUAGGAUAACAGGCUGAUCUCCCCCAAGAGUUCACAUCGACGGGGAGGUUUGGCACCUCGAUGUCGGCUCGUCGCAACCUGGGGCGGUAGUACGUCCCAAGGGUUGGGCUGUUCGCCCAUUAAAGCGGCACGUGAGCUGGGUUCAGAACGUCGUGAGACAGUUCGGUCCAUAUCCGGUGUAGGCGUAGGAGCAUUGAAAGGAUCUCUCCUUAGUACGAGAGGACCGGGAGGGACGUACCUCUGGUGUACCUGUUAUCGUGCCAACGGUAAACGCAGGGUAGCCAUGUACGGAGUGGAUAACCGCUGAAAGCAUCUAAGUGGGAAGCCCACCUUAAGAUGAGUGCUCCCUUGAGGCCACGGGAAGACGACCCGUUUGAUAGGCGCUAGGUGGAAGUGCAGUAAUGCAUGCAGCCGAGGCGUACUAAUAGGCCGAUGGCUUGUCC
RNAcentral lists this ribosomal RNA (1318 nucleotides) under metagenome. Its description in RNAcentral is "bacterial LSU rRNA". It matches the Rfam family "Bacterial large subunit ribosomal RNA", at positions 1563 to 2925 of the family's 2925-position model. The record is from RNAcentral.